AGGCAGCAGUGGGGAAUCUUCCGCAAUGGGCGAAAGCCUGACGGAGCGACACUGCGUGAGGGAAGAAGGCCUUCGGGUUGUAAACCUCUGUCGAGAGGGGAAGACCUCAGACGGUACCCUCAGAGGAAGCCCCGGCUAACUACGUGCCAGCAGCCGCGGUAAGACGUAGGGGGCGAGCGUUAUCCGGAAUUACUGGGCGUAAAGGGCGCGUAGGCGGUUAGGUGUAUCGAGGGUGAAAUCCCAUGGCUCAACCGUGGGAAGUCUCUCGAGAUUGCCUAGCUAGAGGGUAGAAGAGGGAGAUGGAAUUCCCGGUGUAGCGGUGAAAUGCGUAGAUAUCUGCAGGAACACCAGUGGCGAAAGCGGCUCGCUGGACCACAACUGACGCUGAGGGACGAAAGCUAGGGGAGCAAACAGGAUUAGAUACCCUGGUAGUCCUAGCCCUAAACCAUCAGGACUUGGCGUGUCCCAUUCACUUGGGACGUGCCGGAGCUAACGCGUUAAGUCCUGCGCCUGGGGAGUAUGGUCGCAAGACUGAAACUCAAAGGAAUUGACGGGGGCCCGCACAAGCGGUGGAACAUGUGGUUCAAUUCGACGCAACGCGAAGAACCUUACCUGGGCUUGAACCGCUGGAGACCAUUCGCCGAAAGGCGAACUUCCCGCAAGGGACUCCAGUAGAGGUGCUGCAUGGCUGUCGUUAGCUCGUGCCGUGAGGUGUUGGGUUAAGUCCCGCAACGAGCGCAACCC
This 744-nucleotide ribosomal RNA is filed under the name uncultured bacterium. Its description in RNAcentral is "bacterial SSU rRNA". It matches the Rfam family "Bacterial small subunit ribosomal RNA", at positions 346 to 1104 of the family's 1533-position model. The record is from RNAcentral.